AGAGUUUGAUCCUGGCUCAGAUUGAACGCUGGCGGCAUGCCUUACACAUGCAAGUCGAACGGCAGCACGGAGCUUGCUCUGGUGGCGAGUGGCGAACGGGUGAGUAAUAUAUCGGAACGUACCCUAGAGUGGGGGAUAACGUAGCGAAAGUUACGCUAAUACCGCAUACGAUCUAAGGAUGAAAGUGGGGGAUCGCAAGACCUCAUGCUCGUGGAGCGGCCGAUAUCUGAUUAGCUAGUUGGUAGGGUAAAAGCCUACCAAGGCAUCGAUCAGUAGCUGGUCUGAGAGGACGACCAGCCACACUGGAACUGAGACACGGUCCAGACUCCUACGGGAGGCAGCAGUGGGGAAUUUUGGACAAUGGGCGAAAGCCUGAUCCAGCAAUGCCGCGUGAGUGAAGAAGGCCUUCGGGUUGUAAAGCUCUUUUGUCAGGGAAGAAACGGUGAAAGCUAAUAUCUUUUGCUAAUGACGGUACCUGAAGAAUAAGCACCGGCUAACUACGUGCCAGCAGCCGCGGUAAUACGUAGGGUGCAAGCGUUAAUCGGAAUUACUGGGCGUAAAGCGUGCGCAGGCGGUUUUGUAAGUCUGAUGUGGAAUCCCCGGGCUCAACCUGGGAAUUGCAUUGGAGACUGCAAGGCUAGAAUCUGGCAGAGGGGGGUAGAAUUCCACGUGUAGCAGUGAAAUGCGUAGAUAUGUGGAGGAACACCGAUGGCGAAGGCAGCCCCCUGGGUCAAGAUUGACGCUCAUGCACGAAAGCGUGGGGAGCAAACAGGAUUAGAUACCCUGGUAGUCCACGCCCUAAACGAUGUCUACUAGUUGUCGGGUCUUAAUUGACUUGGUAACGCAGCUAACGCGUGAAGUAGACCGCCUGGGGAGUACGGUCGCAAGAUUAAAACUCAAAGGAAUUGACGGGGACCCGCACAAGCGGUGGAUGAUGUGGAUUAAUUCGAUGCAACGCGAAAAACCUUACCUACCCUUGACAUGGCUGGAAUCCUUGAGAGAUCAGGGAGUGCUCGAAAGGGAACCAGUACACAGGUGCUGCAUGGCUGUCGUCAGCUCGUGUCGUGAGAUGUUGGGUUAAGUCCCGCAACGAGCGCAACCC
RNAcentral lists this ribosomal RNA (1102 nucleotides) under uncultured bacterium. RNAcentral's name for it is "bacterial SSU rRNA". It matches the Rfam family "Bacterial small subunit ribosomal RNA", at positions 8 to 1104 of the family's 1533-position model. The record is from RNAcentral.